RNAcentral lists this long non-coding RNA (306 nucleotides) under Volvox carteri. RNAcentral's name for it is "long non-coding RNA (VCAR_LNC003663)". The record is from RNAcentral. Lineage: Eukaryota; Viridiplantae; Chlorophyta; Chlorophyceae; Chlamydomonadales; Volvocaceae.
UCCGUGUGGCCGUGUGUGUGUGUGUGUGUAACGGACCAAACAUAAUACCUCGCCCGGCUGAAACGCGUUAUUGGUAAUAUAUUGCAUUCUCUAUUGCAAGGUAUCUCGCCUGUAGCCAACAAGCAUCGUAUGGGCACUGCCUUCAUGCUGUACGGCACUGUCUUCCGUGUGUGUUCGGGCUGCAGCACCAGACCGCAAAGCCAACAGGCUGAAGGCUGGCAAGCUGCGAUUGUGUCUGCUGAGCGGACUUGGCGGCCGAGCCCCUGCUGUGUGCCGGUAACGGCACCUCAGGCCCAUACAUUUACG